AUGGAGUACAGUGGCACAAUCUCAGCUCACUGCAACCUCUGCUUCCCAGGUUCAAGCGAGUCUCCUGCCUCAGGCUCCCCAGUAGCUGGGAUUACAGGCUUCUCCCAAGGACUUUAUAGGCAGUUUCCUCAAUCUACAAACAGAAAAACAAGAACCAGCAACUUGGUCACCAUCACCCACGAAGAAAAAGCUGACGUGUUAACUUCUAUACUGUGUCUACGUGCAUAUUUGGACAACAUGGGACGAAAAGGUGCUUCCACUGCAGUCUGACUCUGUAGCUCUCAGGGAUAGAGUCUCCCUCAUGAGUGGGACUGGAUAGCUGUUUUUCACAAGGCAUAGUUGCUGGAUCUGCCAAGAGAGUGCAACUGCGGUUGAAUCAGCAAGGGAAGGGCAGAGACCUGAUGCUAUUAGCUUUGCUGGAAGCUUUCCCAGUAGGUCGGGGUCUCAACCAUUUCUCCUCCUGGGAGCAGGCACAGCUUGGAUUCUUCAGCACCUCUGUGAGUCCCCGGAAUGCGCUCUGCUGCCACAGAGCCCAUUAGCUCACCUAUAAAGAAGGCUGACCCUCACUCAGUGUAGGCAACUCACUAUCAGGAUGAGCCAAACAAAGGAAUAAAUAUGUUCCCUCUGGGCCCUGACAUAAUGGGGAAGCUUAAUCCUCAGCUUGGUAAAUGCCACAGCCACAACCAUGACCAGCUCAAUCUUCAAGGCAGAUCAAAUGACUUUCAGGAAUGGUUCUGAACAAGCCCCAGCUGGAGGGCCAAGCAGUUUCAUGAAAGACUGACUUUUCUAUACAGCAGUGAUAAAAAUUCUCUCCCUGUGUCAUGUCUUUAAUUUUAUUCUACUUUAUGGUUUCACAAAGCUUUCCCACAUACAUGAUCGCAUAUACUUUUCACAAACACUCUGUGCAUUUGAUCACUUGUCCAUAGCUGAGGCUUGGAGAAGGUAAUCACUGAAGUGGCUUGGGGAAUUGUGGAGCUGUGGGUGGAAUAUUCUAGCUAACCCCUUGAGUGUCAGGGGCGGGAGAGGACCAGGGUAGCGAAGCCUCAUACAUCCUUUUAAUCUGGCGCAGUGUAUUUCCACAAAUAGAAUCUGAACUAUAGACUCCUCAGCCCUUAGAUGCCUGAUUAAAAAUAGGCUGCUGCUCUGUCCAUGGGUGUCGACCAUCUGUGGCUGGACUUAACGGCGUCCUUCCAUAGGAUUCCGACCUUCACUCUGCUGCCCAUUCGCCUGGAGCACGGACUGGAUGCACUAAGUCAGCAGGGAGAGUCCUGGAAGGCAACCUGUUUCUGAAAUUAGUAUGGCUCUCCUUUAAGUGCCAGUAAAUCCCCACUAAAUCAAUCUUCACUGAGCAAGGUUUGAGAAAAGCACAUAAUGCUGAUUAACCAUUGAAAAUGCCACUAUUAUUUUGCAAAAAGUCUCCCAGCUUCACUCCCAUUCUCAAACUGCCCACACUGUGUUUAAUUCUUCCUGAUGCUUGCUUUAUGUUCACCCCAAUACGUCCUAAAUCAAUUAACGGCAAUUAGUUUGAUUAUGAAACUAUAAAACCAGAUAUAAAAAGCUCCCAUAAAUCUUCCAAUAAAGCACCCAACAAAACAAAAUCUUCUGGCUAACAGCUAAAUUAAGUGUUUUUGUUUUGUUAUUAUUAUGUAGCUCUCCCUUCAGCCUGAUAAGAAGUGUUUGUUGGAAAAUGUCCACUGGAACACAGGUGAUUAGACCUCAAAGGUUUCCCAACAGGGAAGAACCAGCAGAAGGCUUUUC
Molecule: long non-coding RNA, 1758 nt
Filed under: Callithrix jacchus (white-tufted-ear marmoset)
Lineage: Eukaryota; Metazoa; Chordata; Mammalia; Primates; Cebidae
Description: lncRNA (ENSCJAG00000075254.1)
Source: RNAcentral